This 742-nucleotide long non-coding RNA is filed under the name Volvox carteri. RNAcentral's name for it is "long non-coding RNA (VCAR_LNC002683)". Lineage: Eukaryota; Viridiplantae; Chlorophyta; Chlorophyceae; Chlamydomonadales; Volvocaceae. The record is from RNAcentral.
AUACACACAUACACACAUACACACACGCAUACACACACGCAUACAGACAUGCAUGGGUGCAGCAGCAGCGAGAGACAAAAUGACGUCCCAACGGCGUAAUGCUACCAUAGCAUGGAGGCGGCGAUUUGGGUGGAGUGCUGGUGGUUAUAACCGGUUGCUGCGAUGCUGGUCAGGCCGGCGCCAGCCCCGGUGGAGGUCCAAGCCGUCGGAUAGCAAGCAGACGGAAGUACGGGCAUGUCGCAUCUAAAGCGUGCACUCCUUCUUCUAUAAGCUUAUUAGUACAUUGAUGAUCAAGCCGAUUACUGGAUAACGCAAAUGGCUGCUGACAUGGGAGCUAUAGUAGCCGGUACACUGUACGGCAUCGUAAACAACUACAACUACGCGCUAAGCGUUCCACCAGCAUCUCGUGAGGCCUUUACAGCGGCCAGCUACUACAAGAGCAGUUAAAACAAGUCACCUAGCUAAGCAACCGAAGGUAGCUGAUGCUUUAAUUGCACGAACGCAAGUUAGGCAACCCGUACUUCAUCGAGGCGGGUAACUUGGCAGUUAAAAGUCUUUGGUGGCACCAGUACGCAUCCUACCUCCCGACGCCGUCACCAACAGCAACAGGAUAGGCAGCGCCAGGACCGACAUGGCGGCUCUGAUGAACUGUAGCUUUCCUCGACCUUGUCAGCAGGGCCAAAGGUACGAUAUCCCGUAAGUGUAAGAAGGGUUCAGCUCCCUUAAGCUUGGCAUCUCCCUG